CCUACGGGUGGCAGCAGUGAGGAAUAUUGGUCAAUGGGCUUACGCCUGAACCAGCCAAGUCGCGUGAGGGAAGACUGCCCUAUGGGUUGUAAACCUCUUUUGUCAGGGAGCAAUUGGCGCUACGUGUAGCGUUAUCGAGAGUACCUGAAGAAAAAGCAUCGGCUAACUCCGUGCCAGCAGCCGCGGUAAUACGGAGGAUGCGAGCGUUAUCCGGAUUUACUGGGUGUAAGGGGAGCGCAGGCGGCCUGCCAAGUCUGGUGUGAAAACCCGGGGCCCAACCCCGGGCCUGCAUUGGAAACUGGCGGGCUGGAGUGUCGGAGGGGCAGGCGGAAUUCCUAGUGUAGCGGUGAAAUGCGUAGAUAUUAGGAGGAACACCGGUGGCGAAGGCGGCCUGCUGGACGAUGACUGACGCUGAGGCUCGAAAGCGUGGGGAGCAAACAGGAUUAGAUACCCGAGUAGUC
RNAcentral lists this ribosomal RNA (461 nucleotides) under uncultured bacterium. RNAcentral's name for it is "partial 16S ribosomal RNA". It matches the Rfam family "Bacterial small subunit ribosomal RNA", at positions 338 to 795 of the family's 1533-position model. The record is from RNAcentral.